UUUCCCGCCCGCUCAUCUGCUUUCCCUCCCUCCAUAAUAAGUGUGGCACCUGGAGUGUGUGACUUUCAUGAUUUUCUUUUAGGAGAAACAUAACGCAGUCCUCUGUCCCGCCCCUCCUGCAGGGAAUGGUCAUGGGGGCGUAGUUAACCCCAUGCGUGCGGAGGUACACCUUGGAGCCCAGCGCCGACACAGGGUGAAUUAUACUGCUGGGUCACAAGAAGAAGACGUGGCUCCUCUUGAUGCUGAGGGAGGCCUGGAAGUCAUUGCUGGGAGCUUGGGAAGAGGGCUCCCCGAGGCAGAGCCUCCCAGGGGACAGAGGCGGCCCAGCGAUGACCUGGGAGGGUGAUGGGAGCUGCUGUCAGAGUUCUCGCCAGACCCUCCCAGGGAACCCCAGACUUGGUUUCAGCAGGAACCACAUGUGACCCUGGAUGAGCUGACCCCCAUCACUAGGAAAUGUACCUUAAGUCAGAAAAGUAUUCACACUUUGAGUCCCCUCAACUUUGGCUGAACUAAUAGCAAUUACAUUAAAAAUGUGUCUGCCCUUCAUCUUCUUUGACUUUGAUAUUAAAUAUCUCUA
Molecule: long non-coding RNA, 577 nt
Filed under: Homo sapiens (human)
Lineage: Eukaryota; Metazoa; Chordata; Mammalia; Primates; Hominidae
Description: HSALNT0309895
Source: RNAcentral